GAUGAACGCUGGCGGCGUGCCUAAUACAUGCAAGUCGAGCGAACAGACGAGGAGCUUGCUCCUCUGACGUUAGCGGCGGACGGGUGGGUAACACGUGGAUAACCUACCUAUAAGACUGGGAUAACUUCGGGAAACCGGAGCUAAUACCGGAUAAUAUAUUGAACCGCAUGGUUCAAUAGUGAAAGACGGUUUUGCUGUCACUUAUAGAUGGAUCCGCGCCGCAUUAGCUAGUUGGUAAGGUAACGGCUUACCAAGGCAACGAUGCGUAGCCGACCUGAGAGGGUGAUCGGCCACACUGGAACUGAGACACGGUCCAGACUCCUACGGGAGGCAGCAGUAGGGAAUCUUCCGCAAUGGGCGAAAGCUUGACGGAGCAACGCCGCGUGAGUGAUGAAGGUCUUCGGAUCGUAAAACUCUGUUAUUAGGGAAGAACAAAUGUGCAAGUAACUAUGCACGUCUUGACGGUACCUAAUCAGAAAGCCACGGCUAACUACGUG
This 497-nucleotide ribosomal RNA is filed under the name uncultured bacterium. RNAcentral's name for it is "partial 16S ribosomal RNA". It matches the Rfam family "Bacterial small subunit ribosomal RNA", at positions 28 to 507 of the family's 1533-position model. The record is from RNAcentral.